ACGUAGGGGGCAAGCGUUGUUCGGAAUUACUGGGCGUAAAGGGCGCGUAGGCGGCGUCGAUAGUCGGGCGUGAAAUACCUGGGCUCAACCCGGGAAUGGCGUUCGAAACUCCAAUGCUUGAGUGUGGGAGAGGAUAGUGGAAUUCCCAGUGUAGAGGUGAAAUUCGUAGAUAUUGGGAAGAACACCAGUGGCGAAGGCGGCUAUCUGGACCACAACUGACGCUGAGGCGCGAAAGCGUGGGGAGCAAACAGGA
RNAcentral lists this ribosomal RNA (253 nucleotides) under uncultured prokaryote. RNAcentral describes it as "partial 16S ribosomal RNA". It matches the Rfam family "Bacterial small subunit ribosomal RNA", at positions 525 to 777 of the family's 1533-position model. The record is from RNAcentral.